AACAUACUUAAGUCGAUAUUUUAACUCAACUUUGAGAUUUUGCUCAAUUGUUGUGAUGAGUUAAACACCUUGCUUAAAUUGGUGAUCACGAAACGUUUUUGAGUACUGAGUCUAACUCAUCUUUGAGUUUGAGCACAACUAUUUGAGCAAGCGUUCAACCUGUCUCAAGUUGUAAAGCAGUACUCAAACAUGGCCGCUUUUGAUGAACGCAUUCAACGUUUACGAGGACAUUAGCCGAUUUAACGCGUUUUUGAGGUAAGCAGCAAAGAAAAAGUAAGCGAUAUAUAUCGAUUUCACCCGGAAACUAUUUAUAUAUUUCAUUGUUGGAUUGCUGAUUUAUAAAUUGGACGCACCGACUGCCGAUGCAAUAUUUGCUGUCAGUUUUGAUAGUAAAUAGGGCAAAGAAACCUUUGUUUGACACCUUUAUCAUUGCUAAAUUGAAUUGAUUUUCAAAGGCAAAUACGUAGAAUUUAACCACAAAACGUAUAGAGUAGUUCCCCUUUGUUGACAUAGCAUUUGACAACGCGUGCCUUGGUUUUAGCAUAACAUUUUAACGAUGAAUGUUUUAAUACUGUAUAAAUGAAAUCUUACGAUAAUAAGUUGGAGACAGUAUAGUACCAGAAAGGCCGUUUACCAAAAGGCGUUGGCGGAAAACCAUCAUCAACUGGAGAUAUAAAACCGAUUUUCACAAGAACCAGCUUUUAUGCAUUUGAAAUGUAGUUGGAGCAGUAGACGGGACUGUAAUUCUAAUUAUAAAACCAGCUGAAUCUGAAGAAGCUGAUGUGUGCAGGAAAGGGUUUAUUAACAUUACUGAGCGGCUGUCAUUGAUGCCAACAUGAGAUGCCUGCAUUGCACUGGUGGAUGCCUGACUUUCCAAGCCAAAUGAGUGCUGUAGAACAGCAAAAAUUUGCAUUCGCCUGCUCAACCUGUGCUUGGAAUUAUUCAUUCCGCUGAUAGAGAUAGAAGUUUUGGACAUGAUGGAUCCAGCGGUUACAAACAACGCACCAGUAAAGAGAGCAGAAGUCAAUAAGAGGCAUCAGCUGAUCGAACUGUUCAGUUGAAAAUGUCGUCAAGUGAUUGCUAUAUAUAGGAUCUGGCACGAGUUGCCAUAUCAUACCAUAUUUUAUUAAACUCGUCCAGGAAUUGUGUUAGUAAGCUUGCCUUUUAUGAAAUGCCAACAAGUGUCAUAUCUUUUUUAUCACAUGUGUUUAAAUGAGCAAAUAAAUAUUUACGCAAACAUAAUGAUAAAUCCCGAAUGUUGUUUACAUUUCGUGACGUCAUUUGAUGUUGCAACGGCAUUUCAGCAAAAUAACAAAAUGCGAUUGGUCAAUCAAACGAAAUCUAAGCCGAUGAAAACGCUAAAAAAGUAUAUAACACAUGUGUAAGAUAAAAAUAUUUGAAAUGGUUAUAUUACAUGGGGAACAGGGUAUGACAUGUGAUAAAACUAUUUAUUAAAGUGAUAUAUUGCCGUAAUAUUUUAUUUUAUUUUCUCCAAAUAGGAAGAGCUAUACUACACACCCAAAUAUCAGCUUCUGCUUCCUCAUACUUUAGUUCAAGUAAACACCCAAUACCGGCAUAUAAGUUUACGAAAGAAAUUGUAAUUAAAUAUUUUUCAUAUUUAUUCAAGCUCCAGAAAAGAUCAUAUACUGAAGGUACUUUUCCCUAUCCCGUGUUAGCGUUGGAAUGUCAAAGUUUGCGUACCACCUUAAAUAUUUUCAAUGUCCCUUGACAUAUUGCUUUCAUAUUUUGAAUACUUCUUUUCCAACAUGACCCCAAUCUAUAAACAAGAGCAGGCAACUUUAACAAGCAUUUUGUAAGUAU
This is a long non-coding RNA of Dreissena polymorpha, 1821 nucleotides long. RefSeq lists it as uncharacterized. The record is from RefSeq and is a predicted model, not a curated record. Lineage: Eukaryota; Metazoa; Mollusca; Bivalvia; Myida; Dreissenidae. The transcript has 4 exons.